AACGUGCUCCGGGGUCGGUGAGAGUCCGAACCGGCGGUGACAGUCCGCGAGCGGGAGGCCCAGCCUCCUGUUGAGCCGGUGGAAUUCCGGCACCGACGGUAAUGCGUGCAGGCGAGAGCCUGGGCGCUCAGUCCGGAUGGGAGGCGCACGUC
This 152-nucleotide non-coding RNA is filed under the name Leifsonia sp. Leaf336. RNAcentral describes it as "FMN riboswitch aptamer (RFN element)". It matches the Rfam family "FMN riboswitch aptamer (RFN element)". From Rfam's summary of the family: The RFN element is a highly conserved domain that is found frequently in the 5'-untranslated regions of prokaryotic mRNAs that encode for flavin mononucleotide (FMN) biosynthesis and transport proteins. This element is a metabolite-dependent riboswitch that directly binds FMN in the absence of proteins. In Bacillus subtilis, the riboswitch most likely controls gene expression by causing premature transcription termination within the 5' untranslated region of the ribDEAHT operon and precluding access to the ribosome-binding site of ypaA mRNA. RNAcentral also lists the same sequence under 1 other name. Lineage: Bacteria; Bacillati; Actinomycetota; Actinomycetes; Micrococcales; Microbacteriaceae. The record is from Rfam by way of RNAcentral.